ACGUAGGGGGCGAGCGUUGUCCGGAUUCACUGGGCGUAAAGGGUGAGUAGGCGGUUAUAUAUGUCAGGGGUAAAAGGCAAUGGCUUAACCAUAGUUAGCACUUGGAACUGGAAGACUUGAGUGCAGGAGAGGAAAGUGGAAUUCCUAGUGUGGCGGUGGAAUGGGUAGAUAUUAGGAGGAACACCAGUGGCGAAGGCGGCUUUCUGGGCUGUAACUGACACUGAGGCACGAAAGCGUGUGGAGCAAACAG
Molecule: ribosomal RNA, 250 nt
Filed under: uncultured prokaryote
Description: partial 16S rRNA
Rfam family: Bacterial small subunit ribosomal RNA
Source: RNAcentral